GAAUCUUGGACAAUGGGCGCAAGCCUGAUCCAGCCAUGCCGCGUGAGUGAAGAAGGCCUUAGGGUUGUAAAGCUCUUUUGCCAGGGACGAUAAUGACGGUACCUGGAGAAUAAGCCCCGGCAAACUUCGUGCCAGCAGCCGCGGUAAUACGAAGGGGGCUAGCGUUGUUCGGAAUGACUGGGCGUAAAGCGCACGUAGGCGGGUUGUUAAGUCAGGGGUGAAAUCCCGGAGCUCAACUCCGGAACUGCCUUUGAUACUGGCAACCUAGAGGCUGGAAGAGGUUAGUGGAAUUCCCAGUGUAGAGGUGAAAUUCGUAGAUAUUGGGAAGAACACCAGUGGCGAAGGCGGCUAACUGGUCCAGUACUGACGCUGAGGUGCGAAAGCGUGGGGAGCAAACAGG
RNAcentral lists this ribosomal RNA (400 nucleotides) under uncultured bacterium. Its description in RNAcentral is "bacterial SSU rRNA". It matches the Rfam family "Bacterial small subunit ribosomal RNA", at positions 359 to 776 of the family's 1533-position model. The record is from RNAcentral.